AUGAGGUUUCUUGUUCUUUGUGACCCUGAUUUCCCACUACCUGGCUUCUUCUGGGAAGAGGGUUCCAAGAAAACUUUCAGAAGUAGAGAGCAAACAAACAGGGAAGAUUUUAACCAGUUAAAAGAGACGGCAGAUUCUGCCUUUCUGGGGAAGGCUGCUGUCUACGGCUCACUCAGCCACUCAUUCAGUAGCUUUACCUCUCUGAUCGAUUUCCAGCCAGCGGUUCCUGUUUUCCAACCAGGAUAUGCAAACAAGAGCACUUACUGGAAGGGAGGUCUCGGGGCCUCUGGAUUUCAUCAGCUGCCCACUCUCCCAGGAGAGCAGGUGGGACCAGUCGAGCCAGAGGCCAAGGCCAGGAGGCAGGCUGAACAUUUCAAGGCUCUGUUUAAUUUACUGAGCAAAUGAACGGCAGCGUUUUGCAGAAGCCGAAGGAGUAUUGAAUUUCUUAGAGGCCUAAUACACACAAAUGAACUUCAGGAAGUGUUGCAACUCUUCUCCAGAAAGGGGUGGGCAGCCCGCAGGAUUGAAGGAAGCAUCCGCCAGCACCACCAGGAGGACUUCCUGCCCACAUGUUGGUGUCCUGUUACUCAAAUGGUUCAAAAAUGUCUGCCUUUAAACACAUACUCAUGAAAUUAAAAGCAUUAGAAUCACUAGUCCUAGCAAACCAAACGACUUCAUCCAUUUCUCAUGGGUAAUGAAUCCCUGCGCUUUCAGGUCAGUUUCUUAGCUGUGACAAAUGGACCACAGUCAUGUAAAAGGACAAUAUUAGGGGGAAGGGGAACUGGAAGAGGGGUGUACAUAGCACUUUCUGACUAAAAUACAAGUUUGAUUCCAUUAAGGAAACAAAAAUAGUAUAUAUAGACUUUGGCUUUUCACUCUUUCCCUUAUCAUUUAAGAAUUUUUCAUUUCUCUUUGUGAGACCAUAAAAAGUUGUCUUACAAUUUUUUGCUCUCCUUUACCAUCCAAUUGGUG
This 972-nucleotide long non-coding RNA is filed under the name Capra hircus (goat). RNAcentral describes it as "lncRNA (ENSCHIG00000006995.1)". Lineage: Eukaryota; Metazoa; Chordata; Mammalia; Artiodactyla; Bovidae. The record is from RNAcentral.